RNAcentral lists this ribosomal RNA (309 nucleotides) under Triticum aestivum (bread wheat). RNAcentral's name for it is "partial small subunit ribosomal RNA". The record is from RNAcentral. Lineage: Eukaryota; Viridiplantae; Streptophyta; Magnoliopsida; Poales; Poaceae.
AUGGAAUACCUUGAGGAGCGCCCCAUCUCCCUGUGGACUGAGAAGACCACCGAGAAGGAGCAGUUCGGUGUUGCUUCUACCACAUUUCCCUUGCCGAGAGGGUCGUCGUCAGCACGAAGCACAACAACGACGAGCAGUACAUGUGGGAGUCCCAGGCUGGUCGUUCUUUCACCGUCACUUGUGAUACGUCUGGGGAGCAGCUCGAUAGGGGUACCAAGAUGGUCCUCUACCUCAAGGACGACCAUGUAUGCAGUCCAAGCCUCCUAUACAGUGAUUGGUUUACUCUUCAUGUUGUGGUUCUGUGCUUAG